CUGCUCCGGACCCCCUUACCGACAGAGCCGGUGGCGGCGAUAACCGCAGCUUCCGAUAGGACCUCCACGAUGCCGGCGCGCACGGUCGCCGCGCUGCGGCUGUUGGCGUCCAGGUGGCUCAGGAGCUGCUGGAUAACCAGGUCUCACUGGCAAGGACCCCGAGAAGCCCCGUGGCUCAGCUGCGUGCUGCACAGUGUGGCUGGGGGGCCCAGUGCCAAUGCACGAGCUGACUGAUAACACCGCUUGCUGCGGAGAGGAGGGCGGGCCAGAAGGAAAGGAAGCCUAGCAGCCGGGAACGCUCAGCAAGCCAGGGCGUGCAAGGCUGCUUGUCUUUUUGCGCCAUUUAAUUUUUCUCUAGGAAUUCGUUUUCGUUUUAUUUCAUCAAAAUGCCGACCUCGGAUGUACUAAACAUUAAACUGGCCUCCCUUUUCACAGCCGGGUGAUGACAGCAAGGUCUGCGGCCGCUAGGGUCUCUGGGGGAAGUCAGAGGACACGUGGCUUGGCACUUCGUGCACUGUCCCGCACCCGGAAGUGCCCUGGGGGCGUGAGGGGACCAGUUGGCAAGGAGAUCCGGGGGACCUGGACCAGUCAUCUGGCAGUGGGACAUUUCCGGGCUGGGGCGGGACACUCAACUCACAUGAG
This is a non-coding RNA of Peromyscus maniculatus bairdii (prairie deer mouse), 642 nucleotides long. Lineage: Eukaryota; Metazoa; Chordata; Mammalia; Rodentia; Cricetidae. The record is from RefSeq and is a predicted model, not a curated record.